GGUGUGGAUAGGGGAGAAAUUCCAAUCGAACCCGGAGAUAGCUGGUUCUCCUCGAAAUAGCUUUAGGGCUAGCCUCUGGUUAGUCUGCCGCAGGUAGAGCACUGAAUUUCCUAGGGGGCGUCAAAGCCUACCGAAGAAUAUCAAACUGCGAAUGGCGGACAGAUGAUGCCAGGGAGUCAGACUGCACGAGAUAAGUUGGGUGGUCAAAAGGGAAAGAGCCCAGACCUACAGCUAAGGUCCCAAAGUGUGUGUUAAGUGGAAAAGGAUGUGGGAUUUCGAAGACAACUAGGAUGUUGGCUCAGAAGCAGCCACACAUUAAAAGAGUGCGUAAUAGCUCACUAGUCGAGAGGUCCUGCGCCGAAAAUGUCCGGGGCUAAAACACAACACCGAAGCUUAGGAAUUCUAACGAAUUGGUAGAGGAGCAUUGAAGACGGAACGAAGCCAUACCGGAAGGAAUGGUGGACUGUCUUGAAGAGAGAAUGCCGGAAUGAGUAGCGAGAUUGAAGUGAGAAUCUUCAAGGCCGAAUAUCUAAGGUUUCCAGGGUAAAGCUGAUCUGCCCUGGGUAAGUCGGGGCCUAAGGCAAGGUCGAAAGACGUAGUCGAUGGAUAACAGGUUGAAAUUCCUGUACUGCAUCAAAUCAGAAAUGUGGGGACACAUGAGGGAAGCAUGAGCCGGAAAAGGAAAGUCCGGUACAAGCGCAGCAGAGGACAGAUAGGCAAAACCGUCUGUCAACUCGAGGGCGUGAUGUGGAGCGAACCAAAGUAGCGAAGCAUGUGGAGCUUGUGUCGAGAAAAGCCGCUAUAGUGUUUGAUGUACCCGUACCGUAAACCGACACAGGUGGAUGAGGAGAGAAUCCUAAGGCCGGCGGGAGAAGCAUUGUUAAGGAACUCGGCAAAAUGACCCCGUAACUUCGGGAGAAGGGGUGCUCCAGAGAUGGAGCCGCAGAGAACUGGCCCAAGCAACUGUUUAGCAAAAACACAGGUCUAUGCAAAACCGAAAGGUGAGGUAUAUGGGCUGACGCCUGCCCGGUGCUGGAAGGUUAAGAGGAGAUGUUAAUCGCAAGGUGAAGCAUUGAAUUUAAGCCCCAGUAAACGGCGGCCGUAACUAUAACGGUCCUAAGGUAGCGAAAUUCCUUGUCGGGUAAGUUCCGACCCGCACGAAAGGCGUAAUGAUUUGGGCACUGUCUCGACAAUGCACCCGGUGAAAUUGAAAUACCAGUGAAGAUGCUGGUUACCUGCGCCAGGACGGAAAGACCCCAUGGAGCUUUACUCUAGCUUGAUACUGGGGUUCGGUAUUGCAUGUACAGGAUAGGUGGGAGACUGAGAAGAUGUGUCGCCAGAUGCAUCAGAGUCGAUGUUGGGAUACCACCCCUGCAGUACUGGGCUUCUAACCUGCAGCCGUGACCCGGCUGGGGGACAAUGUCUGGUGGGGAGUUUGACUGGGGCGGUCGCCUCCGAAAGAGUAUCGGAGGCGCUCAAAGGUUCCCUCAGAAUGGUUGGAAACCAUUCGAAGAGCGCAAAGGCAGAAGGGAGCUUGACUGCGACACCGACGGGUGGAGCAGGUACGAAAGUAGGACUUAGUGAUCCGGUGGUAUGAAAGUGGGAUUGCCAUCGCUCAACGGAUAAAAGCUACCCUGGGGAUAACAGGCUUAUCACUCCCAAGAGUUCACAUCGACGGAGUGGUUUGGCACCUCGAUGUCGGCUCAUCGCAUCCUGGGGCUGUAGUAGGUCCCAAGGGUUGGGCUGUUCGCCCAUUAAAGCGGUACGCGAGCUGGGUUCAGAACGUCGUGAGACAGUUCGGUCCCUAUCCGGCGUGGGCGUAGGAUAUCUGAGAGGAGCUGUCCUUAGUACGAGAGGACCGGGAUGGACUGACCUCUGGUGCACCGGUUGCAUUGCCAAAUGCAUAGCCGGGUAGCCAAGUCGGGACGGGAUAAACGCUGAAGGCAUCUAAGCGUGAAGCCCCCCUCAAGAUGAGAUAUCCCAUAACAUAAGUUAGUAAGACCCCUUGA
This 2009-nucleotide ribosomal RNA is filed under the name human gut metagenome. Its description in RNAcentral is "bacterial LSU rRNA". It matches the Rfam family "Bacterial large subunit ribosomal RNA", at positions 808 to 2841 of the family's 2925-position model. The record is from RNAcentral.